CGCGUAGGUGGCUUGGUUAGUCCGACGUGAAGUGUACCGGUUCAACCGGGGGCACUGUGGCGGAAACUGCCGAGCUUGAGGCCGAGGGGAGGAAGGUGGAAUUCCUGGUGUAGCGGUGAAAUGCGUAGAUAUCAGGAGGAACACCCGUGGCGAAGGCGACCUUCUAUCUCGGAUCUGACACUGAGGCGCGAAAGCCAAGGGGGAGCAAACGG
RNAcentral lists this ribosomal RNA (212 nucleotides) under uncultured bacterium. RNAcentral's name for it is "partial 16S ribosomal RNA". It matches the Rfam family "Bacterial small subunit ribosomal RNA", at positions 568 to 775 of the family's 1533-position model. The record is from RNAcentral.